AUCCGGCUGACGACUUUCAAAGAGGACGAAACACGCGUCCUGGAU
Schistosoma curassoni is the source of this 45-nucleotide non-coding RNA. The record is from Rfam. Lineage: Eukaryota; Metazoa; Platyhelminthes; Trematoda; Strigeidida; Schistosomatidae.